AGUGAACGCUGGCGGUAGGCCUAACACAUGCAAGUCGAACGGCAGCACAGUAAGAGCUUGCUCUUACGGGUGGCGAGUGGCGGACGGGUGAGGAAUACAUCGGAAUCUACUUUUUCGUGGGGGAUAACGUAGGGAAACUUACGCUAAUACCGCAUACGACCUACGGGUGAAAGCAGGGGAUCUUCGGACCUUGCGCGAUUGAAUGAGCAGAUGUCGGAUUAGCUAGUUGGCGGGGUAAAGGCCCACCAAGGCGACGAUCCGUAGCAGGUCUGAGAGGAUGAUCAGCCACACUGGAACUGAGACACGGUCCAGACUCCUACGGGAGGCAGCAGUGGGGAAUAGUGGACAAUGGGCGCAAGCCGGAUCCAGCCAUACCGCGUGGGUGAAGAAGGCCUUCGGGUUGUAAAGCCCUUCUGUUGGGAAAGAAAAGCAGCAGGUUAAUACCCCGCUGUUCUGACGGUACCCAAAGAAUAAGCACCGGCUAACUUCGUG
Molecule: ribosomal RNA, 492 nt
Filed under: uncultured bacterium
Lineage: Bacteria
Description: partial 16S ribosomal RNA
Rfam family: Bacterial small subunit ribosomal RNA
Source: RNAcentral